This 76-nucleotide microRNA precursor is filed under the name Myotis lucifugus (little brown bat). Its description in RNAcentral is "mir-9229 microRNA precursor family". It matches the Rfam family "mir-9229 microRNA precursor family". The record is from Rfam by way of RNAcentral. Lineage: Eukaryota; Metazoa; Chordata; Mammalia; Chiroptera; Vespertilionidae.
GAGACACCCCUCCAGGGCAAGACUUGCUUCAAUGGGGCUUUGGUGCUCAUUGAGUCUGCCCCCUGAAUGUGUCCUU